GCCCAGAUGGCGGAACUGGUAGACGCGCUAGACUCAAAAUCUGGUUCUCGCAAGGGAGUGCAGGUUCGAUUCCUGUUCUGGGCA
This 84-nucleotide transfer RNA is filed under the name Deminuibacter soli. It matches the Rfam family "tRNA". From Rfam's summary of the family: Transfer RNA (tRNA) molecules are approximately 80 nucleotides in length. Their secondary structure includes four short double-helical elements and three loops (D, anti-codon, and T loops). Further hydrogen bonds mediate the characteristic L-shaped molecular structure. tRNAs have two regions of fundamental functional importance: the anti-codon, which is responsible for specific mRNA codon recognition, and the 3' end, to which the tRNAs corresponding amino acid is attached (by aminoacyl-tRNA synthetases). tRNAs cope with the degeneracy of the genetic code in two manners: having more than one tRNA (with a specific anti-codon) for a particular amino acid; and 'wobble' base-pairing, i.e. permitting non-standard base-pairing at the 3rd anti-codon position. Lineage: Bacteria; Pseudomonadati; Bacteroidota; Chitinophagia; Chitinophagales; Chitinophagaceae. The record is from Rfam by way of RNAcentral. RNAcentral also lists the same sequence under 1 other name.